AUGAGGACACUGUGUUGGAACUGCCGCGGGAUUGGCGACCCCGCGACACGAGAGCUCCGCGAUCUCGUGGAGGCUUGUGCGCCGACGGUGCUUUGUAUUGUGGAAACUCAAAUAGCAAAGUACCGGGUGGAGGGUUUGGCUGGUAGCUUAGGUUUUGAUAGUAGUUUUGGUGUGGCUAGUAGUGGGCGAAGUGGAGGAUUAUGCUUGUACUGGAAUAAU
RNAcentral lists this ribosomal RNA (219 nucleotides) under Triticum aestivum (bread wheat). RNAcentral describes it as "partial small subunit ribosomal RNA". Lineage: Eukaryota; Viridiplantae; Streptophyta; Magnoliopsida; Poales; Poaceae. The record is from RNAcentral.